CAGAGGGACAGUCCCGCUUCAGAGGGACUCGGUAUAGUUCAAAAUUCAAGCCUUUAAUGAUUACAUUUUAAAUUGGCCCAUUUUCAAGGCAAAAAAAAUAAUAAUAAUAAGUUCGUUUGAAACUGAGCACCUUCGGCCCCAUCCUUCGUUCCCAAUCUUACCCAAUCCAGUUUUACCACAAAAGUCCCAUUAUGUUCCUCCUACAUAGUCAGCAAUGCGCGAGCCAUUCAGCAAGUUUUUACUGUUAAUCUCCCCAUUUUCCCUCCCUCUUUCACACACACACACACACACACACACACACACACACACACAUGAGAGAGAGACACACACACACGGAGACACACACACACACACACACACCAUCCAUCUGUUGCUUGUUCCUACCUCCUGAUUUUUCUCCCUUACAGAAAUAGAAAUAGGGACAAAGAAGGGGAAAAUGUAUAUAUGGGGGCUGGGCUGAACAACUUCAUAAGUAGUGUUAACUAGGGGUAAAUUGAGAGAAAAGUUCCUUUUCUCUUCACUGUUUUGGAAAGGAUAGCCAUUAGCAUGACUGCUUUGUGUCCUUACGGAUUUUAGUAUUAGCCUAGAUUGAAUCAUAGAGUUUUCUAGUUGGAAGGAACCUUAAGAUCAUAUCAUCUACUCCACAUUCCUCAUUUUCAGGCCAGGAACGGAGAUGCAGAGGUAAAGUAAUUUCCCCAAGGUCACACAGCUGGCUAGGGGCAGGGCUGGGAUUAGAACCCACAGCUCCUGGCUCUUAUUCCAAAGCCUUUUCCCACUGAACUGUAUUGCCUUCCACCAGGCUCCUGAGAAUUCUUUCCCAGGGUCAUGUUGCAUCUUGGAGCCAUAUGCUGCUGCCCUGAUGUCAGCGGGAAAUCCACCGAGCAACCUAAUACGGCUCUUUCUCCCUCUGUUCACAUGGUUCCCGUUCACAUGGACUGCAGAUGUCCCCAGAGAAAUGGAGGCACUGAGGACCUACUGGAACAAGGGGGUCACUGACCUUGUCCAUACAACACAGGGGAUCACUGCCCCACCUUGAGGCGCCCUCAGAGCAGAGCCCCCUGUGUUGCUACCUUGUCCGAAUGGGAUGGGGAAGACUGCUUUCCCCUGUCAGCUCACCUCAUCUCAUGCUGGUUGGUCUUUGUAGGCUGAAGGAAAGGUUUCUUAUUCCCAGAGCAGGGAAAGGCAGGGAGGCAGGGAAGAAGGAGGGAAGGAAGGAAGGAAGGAAGGAAGGAAAGAAGGAAGGAAGGAAGGAAGGAGGGAAACAGUAGCUUUGUUCAUCCAGACUUUCUGAGAUGACUUUUCAGUAGUUUUUAAACGAGUGUGCCUACCAUUCCGCUGGCAGUGAUUUCUUUUAAAAUAUGGGAGUGAGACUAGCUAGAGAAAAUAACCUGGUCUUACUGUGGUUGCCCUCAUCCGCAAUGUGUCCAUAGUCGUCCCGCCCUAAUGGGAACAAUUUCCAGGUAUAAGCAAGGGGCUUUGUGACUCAAAUGUUCCCUGCCUGAUGUUAAACAUUGGCUCCUUGAGUUUGCACUAAAAUAGUAAGCUACGUGCUGUACACACCAUGUCCGUCUUCUUGUGUACACGGCUCCCGGGGCCCUUCCAGGGCAGAAACAGGGCAACAAGUUUUCUUCCUGGGAACCAGUAUUCAUUAGUUCAGUUCCAAAAGACCUCCUCUGGGCUUACCCCACUCCUCAGGAAAUUCGCUCUCCCUCCUCCUUCUCCUCCUCAAUCAGAAGUAACCAAGGAACCUUCAAGGGGAUGUGUUGUAUCUGAAGAAGGCAAGAAGAAGGGGUCUGAGCCUCUAGAGCCUUCACUGAAUCACCCAACCCAAGUCAGACCAGCAGUCCAGUGCUUGCCUUGGCCAACACUCUGUUUACUUCUUAGAACUUUUGGUACUUUGGAUGGACCUGUCCCUAGUCCCCCUCAGAUUUGUUUCUAAAGAGCUUAUUUAAAAAAAAAAUACAUCUCCCUUGGACAAGGGAGCAAGCAUGCCCAUAUCUCCAAAACAAGCUCCAGCCCACUGAUGAGAAUGUUCCCAAAGAGCAGUGUACCUCAAACACAUCUAUGCCAAGAGACCUCCCCAGACAGAGGCACUGAGACAAUGGGGUUUGAACGACUUCCUUCACUGUCCAGUUUGCUAUGGAAAUAAAAAGCAUUGGCAAUUUCUUUAAAAGAAAAAAAAGGCCAUUGGAUCCUGUCCUUGGCCACAUGGGGCCACUUGGAUCUCCAAGACUAGGCCUCACUCGUAUAUUGCCUUUACUGCAUGAAAGGAUUUGGCUUCUAGGCCUAGGCUGGCUUCCUAAGUAAACCGUCGGCAUUUUGAAGCUUAUCUGGGACUGAAGAGGGGUUAGCAUUCUCUAUUUUGGAACCAGGAACCUAGAGAGGAUAAAGGCCUAGCCAUAGAUAUGCCAAAAGUGAUCCGGGACCUCUUGUCUGGAGCUUUGCCAUUGCUGGGCUUCCUGGGUCUCUCUCCAGGUGUGGAAGUUCAAGGCUGUCACACUCCUGCCUCCACCUAAGAAGGGGACCCCAUAUGUUGCCUUAUCCACUCUUUUAUGAUUCCAUCCGGGGUUUCCAUUUUCUUGCAGGUGUGACCACCUGGAGCAAGCAGACUGCAUCGAUUCCUCUUGCGUACCUUUUGGCUGGAGGUACACCAUGCCAACAGGUUCUCUGACUUUUGGUGGCCCAGAUCCAGUCCAGUGCCAUGAGCACUCAAUGGAUUGCCUUGGCCCUGAACACUGUAAUCAUAGACCAAGACAACAUGAAUCACUUCUUAAAAAUAAAUUCCUGAUUUUAUUUUUCCUCUGGCUAGCAAAACUCACUUCCCUAGCAGGGAAAAGGCUGGAGGUUCUUGCCACACAGCAGCCAAAAUAUAUAUUCAGGGAGGACAAUGCAUUUCUAAACCCACAGAGCCCUGGCUCCAAUGGGCAAGCUACUGUGGGCUCAGACUUAGCAGAUUCUUCUAGCCCUUCCACUUUUUCUUUCCAGAGACAAGGAAGCUCCUUCUCCAUCAUCCUGUCUUUCAGUAUGUCUGGUUAGAGAAUUUUCUCCUUCUAUCUUUUCAGGAAAGGGUGACUUCCUCCUCUGUCUCUCCCACCCUGGUCCCCAAGCUUGUCUCCAUCCCCAAAAGACCUGGGGUGGUCUUUAUACCCAGCCUCCUGGUGUUGCUUCCUGCUUUCUGUUAAGAAGCCAUGUAGGCCUCCCAUCUGGCCUAGGCAGUGAGAUGCUUGUUGUCAUAGGACAAGGCUCUAGGACCUCCCCUUCUAACUGCCCAACUUUUUAUUCCUUAGCUCAUAGGCUUCACCAUCUUCUGGAAUCAGAAGCAGUCUUGUCUUACCUUGGAUACCUGAAGCUAGGGGAGUAUAGAAUUCUCAUUGGGAAUUAAGGCAUCUUCUUUUCCUGAUUAGUAGGACAGGCUAGUUGGGAGAGAUCAGUGGCACAACAGAAGUCAGAGCAGACAUCCUGUGAACUAAGGCAAAGACUGGGAGGCAUUGGAACUUUUCGUUCAGGGGUUAACAACGAGGAAAUCCACGGCUUUCUGCCACUCUCUUCCUUACCUCCCCUUGUAUCUCUUGUCUUUUCUUUCUCUCUCCAGUUCACCAUAUUUGCUCUCUGUUUUAUCCCUCUCUCUUUCUGCAGUACAAACCUCUCUCCUCUGUCCUCUGCAAUCCUUCUCUCUCUCUCUCUCUCUUUUUUUCUCUCCCUUUUAAUGUUUUACCUUCCUCCUUAUUGAGGUGUUGGGCCUAUGCCUCUUCUUAGCCCCUUGACCUUGCCUUGGUCAUGAGGAGUUGUUUCCAGACUCAGCAAGCCCUGAGCCUGCCCAAGUCCAGUCAGAAGUGUGUUCGUGGGGAUCAAUCCGAUCCUGGCCCUUUCUUCCACAUUUUCAGUUGUAAUUCCCCAAAGCAGAUCCUCCCAAGCAGGUUCCUUAUUGCUCACGUAUCUUUGGGUCAUCGCCUUCCAAGUAUUGUACAGAAUACCUUGUGGAGCAGUGAAACGUGCUCAGAGAAGUAAUCAGCUGAACUGGAAGAUCCACCUAGGGAUUCAUAUCAGCUAAAUACUAGUGGUUGAUUUUGUUUAAUUUGCUCAUAAUUUUAAAAGCUGCAAUAUAAUAUAAGGAGAGACCAGAGGUAAUUUCUCCUGUCAUUUGGUUUAGCUGGGGGUGGGGUGGGGGGACAGUUUCUUUAAAGUUUGACCAUUAUACCAUAAGCCCUCUAUAGUAUGUUUGGGGCUUGCCGAGUGUUGACUUUUUCAAGCUGAACUGAUAGGCAAUUGGGGUUGCUUUAAAUGUUCAGUGUAUUUAGCAACUCCAUAAAAAGAAACGUUCACUUAAUUGACUUGUGCUUUUCCUUCUGUUACUAAAUUCAGCUAAACAUUUCCUAUUGACACCAACUGUUCAUGAUCCUGUGCACGUGGUCCAUAUAAGAGUAAUACUAGACCUAAAGAAGCUAUCCUGCAGGUGCUAAUUUAUUCAUCAGGGUGCACAGCCCUUGGGAAUGUCACUGCUUAGCAAUAGCAUAUGGAAUGCCCUUUCCAUUGCCAUUUCUUUGUAAGUUCUCUUAAAGGGAUCUGAGCAAGCAAGAGGUUUUACCUACAUGUCUCCAGUCUAUGGUCCUGUAAUAUAUUGCAGCUUGAAGCCAAUGAUCCCUUAUGACUUGUAUACAACUAAUGCAUGUUUUAAUUGAAUUUUGCAUUUCUCAUGUGUGGUAAGUUCUUUAAAACGUUUUCGCUCACCUUUUGGUGCCAUUAAACUUGUACAGAAAACGCUUUUAUGGCCAUUUUCAAAGGGAGAAAGUUUAAAAUGGAAACAGCCCACCCUUUCUGCCCUAUAGCUGUAGUUAGAACUCAGUAACUGUAGCAAAACAGCUGUAAUUGGUGGUUGUAGUGUUAGAGGCGUUAGCUUGCUAGUGACUAGCUUUGGAGAGUAAAUGCAUGGUAUUGUACAUCACAUUUCUUAAAUAACUCAUUCUAACCUCUGAAAAGAAUAUAUUCUUCCUUGUGGUCCCUCUUCCCUCCCUCGCCUUCUCCCUCCCCCUGCUCCCUGGUGUCUUGCAGUUGUAAAUAACUGAUUUAGGGGCCAAUAAUUUUUGCCAAGUAAAGUCAGCAAAGAACAAACAAACCAAAAAGGGGGGGAGGCAUUUCUCAACAGCCUCUUAGCAGUUAUUAACCAUUUCUCAAGGAAUGGCAUUGUGAUCAAAGACUCAGUUCCCCUUUGCAUAAAAAUCAGGGGCAGGUUGGGCGCCUCUUGGGCUAUUUGAUGGCCUUGCAGAAUUAAAUCAUUCUCAGGAUCACACCUAAUCGAAAAUCAGUGGACAAAGAUGUCCCUUAGCCCUGCAACAGUUUUGAGAUAUUCAGGGGCCCGCAGAAGGCUCUGCUUGAUCAAUGAUGGAUAAUUAUUUUUAAAAAAGAAAAGAAAAACAGAGCAAGACAACAGAUAUUUUAGGGAUUUGUAGUUGCCCCUUUAGGAUAGUUAUGGCCAGAAAAGACAAGGACAUGGGUUUAUAUGUAUUGCUGUCGGCUUCCCAGGCAGUGCCUCGCCUGCUCUUAGGCUGUGAUUCAAAAGCAAGAAGGCGGCCUCCUUUUUGGUUUGCUGUUCCCACUUGGACUGAUAGGUUUGGUGAGGCCCACGUAAACCAGCUGGAGCAGACCCUUUUCAUCUCCUGUGCCUGUUAAUAUCCCUCUUCCUCCCUUCACAAUUUGAUGAGGGCUUUCUUUGGUCAGAGGACUUCAAAGUCUAGAGAAGUUCCCCAUGUGUAUAGCGUGUUGUGAACUGUGAACGCUGCGGAUUCACAGCGUUCGAUACCGGGCAGCCACGGAGCUGCUCUUGCAAUCAUUUUGGCUCUCAAGCUCUGCUCUUCAUCUCAUUCUCAUUUAUGUGUACAUUUGCAAGAUGUGUGUAAUGUCAUUUUCCAAAAAUAAAAUUUGAUUU
Molecule: long non-coding RNA, 5923 nt
Filed under: Sus scrofa (pig)
Lineage: Eukaryota; Metazoa; Chordata; Mammalia; Artiodactyla; Suidae
Description: lncRNA (ENSSSCG00000060482.1)
Source: RNAcentral